UACAUGGGGUGCAAACGUUGCUCGGAAUUAUUGGGCGUAAAGCGCACGUAGGCGGUUUGUUAAGUCGGAUGUGAAAUCCCUCGGCUCAACUGAGGAAGUGCAUCCGAAACUGGCAGGCUUGAGUACUAAAGAGGGUCGCGGAAUUCUCGGUGUAGCGGUGAAAUGCGUAGAUAUCGAGAGGAACACCUGCGGCGAAGGCGGGUAGCUGGGCCGACACUGACGCUGAUGCGCGAAAGCCAGGGGAGCGAACGGG
This 253-nucleotide ribosomal RNA is filed under the name uncultured bacterium. RNAcentral's name for it is "partial 16S ribosomal RNA". It matches the Rfam family "Bacterial small subunit ribosomal RNA", at positions 524 to 776 of the family's 1533-position model. The record is from RNAcentral.